UAGGGAAUCUUCCACAAUGGACGCAAGUCUGAUGGAGCAACGCCGCGUGAGUGAAGAAGGUUUUCGGACCGUAAAGCUCUGUUGUUGGUGAAGAAGGAUAGAGGUAGUAACUGGCCUUUAUUUGACGGUAAUCAACCAGAAAGUCACGGCUAACUACGUGCCAGCAGCCGCGGUAAUACGUAGGUGGCAAGCGUUGUCCGGAUUUAUUGGGCGUAAAGCGAGCGCAGGCGGAAGAAUAAGUCUGAUGUGAAAGCCCUCGGCUUAACCGAGGAAUUGCAUCGGAAACUGUUUUCUUGAGUGCAGAAGAGGAGAGUAGAACUCCAUGUGUAGCGGUGGAAUGCGUAGAUAUAUGGAAGAAUACCAGUGGCGAAGGCGGCUCUCUGGUCUGCAACUGACGCUGAGGCUCGAAAGCAUGGGUAGCGAACAGGAUUAGAUACCCUGGUAGUCCAUGCCGUAAACGAUGAGUGCUAAGUGUUGGGAGGCUUCCGCCUCUCAGUGCUGCAGCUAACGCAUUAAGCACUCCGCCUGGGGGAGUACGACCGCA
RNAcentral lists this ribosomal RNA (544 nucleotides) under uncultured bacterium. RNAcentral describes it as "partial 16S ribosomal RNA". It matches the Rfam family "Bacterial small subunit ribosomal RNA", at positions 355 to 890 of the family's 1533-position model. The record is from RNAcentral.